UGGGGAUAUUGCACAAUGGGGGAACCCUGAUGCAGCAACGCCGCGUGAGGGAAGAAGGUUUUCGGAUUGUAAACCUCUGUCCUUGGUGAAGAAUGAUGACGGUAGCCAAGGAGGAAGCUCCGGCUAACUACGUGCCAGCAGCCGCGGUAAUACGUAGGGAGCGAGCGUUGUCCGGAUUUACUGGGUGUAAAGGGUGCGUAGGCGGCAAUGCAAGUCAGACGUGAAAUGCAGAGGCUUAACCUCUGAACUGCGUUAGAAACUGCAUAGCUUGAGUGAAGUAGAGGCAGGCGGAAUUUCCAGUGUAGCGGUGAAAUGCGUAGAGAUUGGAAGGAACACCAGUGGCGAAGGCGGCCUGCUGGGCUUUAACUGACGCUGAGGCACGAAAGCGUGGGUAGCAAACAGGAUUAGAUACCCUGGUAGU
This 421-nucleotide ribosomal RNA is filed under the name uncultured Clostridium sp. Its description in RNAcentral is "bacterial SSU rRNA". It matches the Rfam family "Bacterial small subunit ribosomal RNA", at positions 356 to 794 of the family's 1533-position model. The record is from RNAcentral. Lineage: Bacteria; Bacillati; Bacillota; Clostridia; Eubacteriales; Clostridiaceae.